CGCAAAGUUGACGGGACUAGAAGAGUC
RNAcentral lists this small RNA (27 nucleotides) under Bombyx mori (domestic silkworm). RNAcentral describes it as "ovarian small RNA-14302". The record is from RNAcentral. Lineage: Eukaryota; Metazoa; Arthropoda; Insecta; Lepidoptera; Bombycidae.